CGCGUUUACCCUGUAGCACCCUACCCUGUAAGACACCUACCCUGUAGGACUUACCCGGUGGCACCUACCCGGUAGAUGCGGGUAAGCCUGCCGGUGGCCCAUAAGAAAAAAAAAUUCUGUUUUUGGCAUUGUAAUUCUGAAUACUAUAACUAAAUCAGUUAAAACUUUCAACAACGGAUCUCUUGGUUCUGGCAUCGAUGAAGAACGCAGCGAAAUGCGAUAAGUAAUGUGAAUUGCAGAAUUCAGUGAAUCAUCGAAUCUUUGAACGCACAUUGCGCCCAUUAGUAUUCUAGUGGGCAUGCCUGUUCGAGCGUCAUUUCAACCCUUAAGCCUUUGUUGCUUAGUGUUGGGAGCCUACAGCACUGUAGCUCUCUAAAGUUAGUGGCGGAGUCGGCUCACAGCUCUAGACGUAGUAAUUCUUUUCUCGCCUUUGUGUUGUGCCGGUUUCCUGCCGUAAAAACCCCUUAAUUUUUCAAGGUUGACCUCGGAUCAGGUAGGAAUACCCGCUGAACUUAAGCAUAUCAAUAAGCGGAGGAAAAGAAACCAACAGGGAUUGCCCUAGUAACGGCGAGUGAAGCGGCAACAGCUCAAAUUUGAAAUCUGGCCCUCGGGUCCGAGUUGUAAUUUGUAGAGGAUGCUUUUGGCGCGGUGCCUUCCGAGUUCUCUGGAACGAGACGCCUUAGAGGGUGAGAGCCCCGUACGGUUGGACACCAAGCCUCUGUAAAGCUCCUUCGACGAGUCGAGUAGUUUGGGAAUGCUGCUCUAAAUGGGAGGUAAAUUUCUUCUAAAGCUAAAUAUUGGCCAGAGACCGAUAGCGCACAAGUAGAGUGAUCGAAAGAUGAAAAGCACUUUGAAAAGAGGGUUAAAUAGCACGUGAAAUUGUUGAAAGGGAAGCGUUUGCGACCAGACCUUUUCCUAGCGGAUCAUCCGGUGUUCUCACCGGUGCACUUCGCCAGGUUAAGGCCAGCAUCGGUUUCUGUAGGGGGAUAAAAGCCCUGGGAACGUAGCUCCUCCGGGAGUGUUAUAGCCCUCUGCAUAAUACCC
This 1044-nucleotide ribosomal RNA is filed under the name Xylariales sp. Its description in RNAcentral is "eukaryotic LSU rRNA". The stretch from base 480 to 1044 matches the Rfam family "Eukaryotic large subunit ribosomal RNA", at positions 1 to 576 of the family's 3401-position model. Lineage: Eukaryota; Fungi; Ascomycota; Sordariomycetes; Xylariales. The record is from RNAcentral.